UAGGGAAUCUUCGGCAAUGGACGAAAGUCUGACCGAGCAACGCCGCGUGAGUGAAGAAGGUUUUCGGAUCGUAAAACUCUGUUGUUAGAGAAGAACAAGGACGUUAGUAACUGAACGUCCCCUGACGGUAUCUAACCAGAAAGCCACGGCUAACUACGUGCCAGCAGCCGCGGUAAUACGUAGGUGGCAAGCGUUGUCCGGAUUUAUUGGGCGUAAAGCGAGCGCAGGCGGUUUCUUAAGUCUGAUGUGAAAGCCCCCGGCUCAACCGGGGAGGGUCAUUGGAAACUGGGAGACGUCAGUGCAGAAGAGGAGAGUGGAAUUCCAUGUGUAGCGGUGAAAUGCGUAGAUAUAUGGAGGAACACCAGUGGCGAAGGCGGCUCUCUGGUCUGUAACUGACGCUGAGGCUCGAAAGCGUGGGGAGCAAACAGG
RNAcentral lists this ribosomal RNA (429 nucleotides) under Gemmatimonadota bacterium. Its description in RNAcentral is "Gemmatimonadetes bacterium partial 16S ribosomal RNA". It matches the Rfam family "Bacterial small subunit ribosomal RNA", at positions 355 to 776 of the family's 1533-position model. The record is from RNAcentral. Lineage: Bacteria; Pseudomonadati; Gemmatimonadota.